Molecule: transfer RNA, 74 nt
Filed under: Candidatus Nanoarchaeia archaeon
Lineage: Archaea; Nanobdellati; Nanobdellota; Candidatus Nanoarchaeia
Also listed under: 1 other name
Description: tRNA-Lys
Rfam family: tRNA
About the family: Transfer RNA (tRNA) molecules are approximately 80 nucleotides in length. Their secondary structure includes four short double-helical elements and three loops (D, anti-codon, and T loops).
Source: RNAcentral
GGGCCCGUAGCUCAGUCUGGUAGAGCAACCGGCUCUUAACCGGUUGGUCGCGGGUUCAAAUCCCGUCGGGCCCA